RNAcentral lists this ribosomal RNA (207 nucleotides) under uncultured bacterium. Its description in RNAcentral is "partial 16S ribosomal RNA". It matches the Rfam family "Bacterial small subunit ribosomal RNA", at positions 568 to 774 of the family's 1533-position model. The record is from RNAcentral.
CACGCAGGCGGUUUGUUAAGUCAGAUGUGAAAGCCCCGGGCUCAACCUGGGAACUGCGUUUUGAACUGGGUAACUAGAGUGUGUCAGAGAGGGGUAGAAUUCCACGUGUAGCAGUGAAAUGCGUAGAGAUGUGGAGGAAUACCGAUGGCGAAGGCAGCCCCCUGGGAUAACACUGACGUUCAUGCUCGAAAGCGUGGGUAGCAAACA